UGGCGGACGGGUGAGUAACGCGUGGGUAACCUGCCUCAUACAGGGGGAUAACGGUUAGAAAUGACUGCUAAUACCGCAUAAGCGCACAGUACCGCAUGGUACGGUGUGAAAAACUCCGGUGGUAUGAGAUGGACCCGCGUCUGAUUAGCUGGUUGGUGAGGUAACGGCCCACCAAGGCGACGAUCAGUAGCCGACCUGAGAGGGUGACCGGCCACAUUGGGACUGAGACACGGCCCAA
Molecule: ribosomal RNA, 238 nt
Filed under: uncultured bacterium
Lineage: Bacteria
Description: partial 16S ribosomal RNA
Rfam family: Bacterial small subunit ribosomal RNA
Source: RNAcentral